AACGAACCGGCCCCGCCGUAGGGUAUUUUUAGGACGAGUGGUCAUUCAUCGUAGAGAUUAAAUUUGUUUAUAUUUUAUUUUGAGAUCAGGAUUAUAGGUUCAUGGCUUCCAACAGACUCAAGAAUUUGCUGUUAAUUACCCCACACUUUUAGUGUUAAGGAACUCUCGAUUAAGAAACCGAAUAUGAAUGCUGAUAAAAGAGACCAAGCAGGCAAAUGCAAUUUUAUUAAUAUGAUUUACCGUGUACAUGGCUUAAGCAGGGGCAUACCCCCACUAUACAUAAAUUUUAUAACACUAGAUACUCAAUUUAGCGACUUGAUGGUCGAUUGAAGUUUUGGGCUUAGUUUAAUGACUUUUCGGUCGUUUGAAUUUGAGUUUAGUUUAACGAUUUUGCGGUCGUUUGAAUUUGGGUUUAGUUUAGCGACGUUUCGAUCGUUUGAAUUUGGGUUUAGUUUAGCGACGUUUCGGUCGUUUGAAUUUGGGUUUAGUUUAGCGACGUUUCGGUCGUUUGAAUAUGGGUUUAGUUUAGCGACGUUUCGGUCGUUUGAAUUUGGGUUUAGUUUAGCGACAUUUCAGUCGUUGGGUUUAGUUUAACGACGUUUCGGUCGUUGGGUUUAGUUUAGCGACGUUUCGGUCGCUGGGUUUAGUUUAGCGACGUUUCGGUCGCUGGGUUUAGUUUAACGACGUUUCAGUCGUUUGAGUUUGGGUUUAGUUUAGUGACGUUUCGGUCGUUGGGUUUAGUUUAACGACGUUUCGGUCAUUUGAAUUUCGGUUUAGUUUAACAAUGUUUCGGUCGUUUGGAUUUGGGUUUAGUUUAGCGACAUUUCGGUCGUUGGGUUUAGUUUAACGACGUUUUGGUCGUUUGGUUUAGUUUAACGAUGUUUCGGUCAUUUGGUUUAGUUUAACGACGUUUCGGUCGUUUGGUUUAGUUUAACGACGUUUUAGUCGUUGGGUUUAGUUUAACGACGUUUCGGUCGUUUGGUUUAGUUUACCGACGUUUCGGUCGUUGGGUUUAGUUUACCGACGUUUCGGUCGUUGGGUUUAGUUUAACGGCGUUUCGGUCGUUGGGUUUAGUUUAACGACAUUUCGGUCGUUUGGUUUAGUUUAACGAUAUUUCGGUCGUUUGGUUUAGUUUAACGACGUUUCGGUCGUUGGGUUUAGUUUAACGACGUUUCGGUCAUUUGAAUUUGGGUUUAGUUUAACGACGUUUCAGUCGUUUGGAUUUGGGUUUAGUUUAGCGACGUUUCGGUCGUUUAGAUUUGAGAGGCUUUGGAUUUCGGGGUUUUAUUUGUGGACUUUAGGUUUUUGGGAUUUUAUUUGUGGACUUUGGGUUUUGAGAUUUUAUUUGUGGAUUUUGGGUUUUGGGAUUUAUUUGUGGACUUUGGUUUUGGGAUUUAUUUGUGGACUUUGGUUUUGGGUUCGCUUAAACCUCUUGUAUUUGAUUUGGGAUGAACCGUUAUGCUUUGGUUCAGGA
RNAcentral lists this long non-coding RNA (1474 nucleotides) under Ananas comosus (pineapple). RNAcentral describes it as "long non-coding RNA (ACOM_LNC010350)". The record is from RNAcentral. Lineage: Eukaryota; Viridiplantae; Streptophyta; Magnoliopsida; Poales; Bromeliaceae.